Molecule: long non-coding RNA, 992 nt
Filed under: Marmota monax (woodchuck)
Lineage: Eukaryota; Metazoa; Chordata; Mammalia; Rodentia; Sciuridae
Source: RNAcentral
GGGUGGGAGCCCUCCCCUGUUGAUCUGGGGACUGGCAGGCUGGCUACAUGCUUAUAACUGCAGACCACCCUCCCUCCUCCGACAGGGAGGCAGGCAGAGCAAGGUUAAAGUCUGGAACUCAGCACUCGUUUGCUUUUGCUGCCUCAGUUUCUUUCCCUGGAAAGUGGGUUCAGUGAUGGUAAGUCUGUCACACAGGGGAGCGAAUGGAUGAUGGGAAGAGGCCUUUGCUGUAAUCCCAGCCGCAGGGCGUGGGUGAGCUCUCUGCAGGUGACUGUUCUGUAGCGUGGAUGGGAACAGCGUGAGGCCAGUGUGAUGCCAACAGAGCAGCCCAGGACUAAGAGCUGUGGCAGAGGGACUGGCCAGAUGUACUGGCAGGGAGGCGGAGUCUGUUCCUAAGACAUUAGGAAGUCUCACUGUUUGGGAAGGACAGGGGGAGGCUGGUUUCAUUCCUUUGUGUUAAGCAAGAUUUUUCAGAGACAAGGGAGUGACCCAGGGGCUUUUACGCCUCCCCAGCCUUGCUUCCUGGGUGAGGGAGCGGAGGAGCUGGGGCCCUGCCUUCUAGCCGGAUGCCAUCUCUCGCUGCCCCAAGGCCGCACUGCCCCCUUGCAUCUCUAAUCCAAGGUCACCUUCCAGUCAAAGGAGCCUGUGGGUUGUUUCUUUCCUGUCACUCUUUGCCCUGGCCACACUCAUUCCUGCAGGGCCUUGUCUUCUAACCCGGUUCCUGGGUAACCUCUGGUGUUGCUGGGCCUUCCCCUGCUGCUCUCCAGCCCUGUUCUGCCGCCUCUAGACCUCAACACAUCAAAGCAGCAGACAGGACUGGGGGCGAGUGCUCUGAGGCAGGCCGUGCCCCUAACUGGCUGGAUAGAUCAAGUACCUUCUCUCUCUCUCUGGUAAACCUCACAUCUUGGUUCUAUUCUAUUUAUACACAGUCAGAUCUUCUUUUAACAGUGUCUUUGUUGCAAAGAUGCAGAGACAUCACAGGACAAGCCGUA